RNAcentral lists this ribosomal RNA (295 nucleotides) under uncultured bacterium. Its description in RNAcentral is "partial 16S ribosomal RNA". It matches the Rfam family "Bacterial small subunit ribosomal RNA", at positions 775 to 1067 of the family's 1533-position model. The record is from RNAcentral.
GGAUUAGAUACCCUGGUAGUCCACGCCGUAAACGAUGUGUGCUAGACGUCGGGGGUUCCGCCUUCGGUGUCGCAGCUAACGCAUUAAGCACACCGCCUGGGGAGUACGGCCGCAAGGUUAAAACUCAAAGGAAUUGACGGGGGCCCGCACAAGCGGUGGAGCAUGUGGUUUAAUUCGACGCAACGCGCAGAACCUUACCAGCCCUUGACAUGGGGAUCGCGGAUAGCAGAGAUGCUUUCUUUCAGUUCGGCUGGAUCCCACACAGGUGCUGCAUGGCUGUCGUCAGCUCGUGCUG